UCGCACUUAAGUAAUUGGCUAGAUUGCCGCCGACGAGUUAGCCUCUGAACUCAGAUGCUAACUGAGUCCCGCUCUAAAUAUUUUUGUUUGUUGGCACGCUAAUAAAUUAAAACCAAUUAAAAAAUUGGUUAUUACAAAAAUCUUGUUUUAUUAAUUUCGAUCUUCUUAAACCAGGAACUCUUGAAACCAGGGUAAUAUUGAUUAUUAUAAGGUUUAUGUACAAAAUAAACGAUUAUGGAUAUUAUACAACGGUUACAGUUAAUAUUUGGCUUUAUAUCAACGGAGUAAUAUUCAAUAGCAAAAUCAAGUCUCAAACUGACGUUAUUUGCCACCUUGCACCGGGGACUAAAACUCAUUAUUUGUUAAGUUAAAUUGUAUAAUAAUUAUUUAAGUAAUUAGUUUGAACUCAUUAAUGGGUUUAAGAAAUGUUUAUCUUUGCUCAACUUACUAAGACAUGUUUCAGUUUCUCACAAAUCCCUAUAAAUAGGUCAUAAUAAUCGAACUUUGAGUUUAAUAUUCGAUCGAAAUAGAUAUCAAAGAAUGGCUGAGCUUUAAAAAAUACUUACACGGCACUGGGUAUUUGUGGUACUGGCUGCGGAUGGCUCUGGGUUAAGUAUCCCUUCUCAGCAAAUUGGACAAAUGCUUCGGGACUGUAUUGUUUGGCCAAAUACCGGUACAUCUUUCCCUGCCUCAAG
This is a long non-coding RNA of Drosophila gunungcola (fruit fly), 695 nucleotides long. RefSeq lists it as uncharacterized. The transcript is spliced from 2 exons. The record is from RefSeq and is a predicted model, not a curated record. Lineage: Eukaryota; Metazoa; Arthropoda; Insecta; Diptera; Drosophilidae.